CGAGUACCCGCAUCUAUAACACAGAUGCAGGGAACAGAGUUUUAUCUGAAAAACUGUGUAUUCAGCUGAGCGAGUGACGUCUAAACGCCUAAUGGCUGUAGCUGCUGUGGCGCUGAACAACAGUCUGCUAUGCUUCUCAAAUUCAACAACCAGAGCAACAAGAAAACCGCCAUGUGCAUGGUUUCCUGACGAAACAAGCUUGUUGGUACCUCGAAAGAAGGCCCAUUUCACUUUAACGUCUUACUCUUCUUCUUCGACUUCUCAGUCCCCUGAAUCCGGUACACAGACUCCAGAAUCCUGCGUCAAUUUGGGUCUCUCCCUCUUUUCCAAAGGAAGGGUUAAAGAUGCUUUAGUCCAGUUUGAAAAGGCUCUUAGCUUAGAUCCCACACCUGUUGAGGCCCAAGCUGCACUAUAUAAUAAAGCUUGCUGCCAUGCCUACCGAGGGGAAGGAAAGAAAGCUGCUGACUGCCUACGUACUGCUUUGAGGGAAUAUAAUCUUAAAUUUGGUACCAUAUUGAAUGAUCCAGAUUUGGCUUCCUUUAGAGCUUUGCCUGAGUUCAAGGAAUUACAAGAAGAGGCUAGGCUGGGAGGGGAAGAUAUAGGAUACAGCUUUCGUAGAGAUCUCAAACUUAUUAGUGAGGUCCAAGCACCAUUUCGUGGGGUUAGGAGAUUCUUUUAUGUGGCAUUCUCCGCGGCUGCAGGAAUUUCAUUGUUCUUUACAAUCCCUAGGCUCUUCCGUGCAAUUAAUGGUGGGGAUGGUGCCCCAGAUCUCGGGGAAACUGCUGGAAAUGCUGCCAUUAAUAUUGGAGGCAUCGUUGUUCUUGUGGGCCUAUUUCUCUGGGACAAUAAGAAAGAGGAAGAACAAAUUGCACAGAUAACCAGAGAUGAAACUCUAUCAAGGUUGCCUUUGCGCCUUUCCACUAAUCGUGUUGUCGAGCUUGUACAGCUUCGGGACACUGUUAGGCCAGUAAUCUUGGCAGGGAAGAAGGAGACUGUUUCCAUAGCUAUCCAGAAGGCAGAGAGGUUCCGAACUGAGCUGCUUAGACGAGGUGUCCUUUUAGUUCCUGUUAUCUGGGGUGAAGGGAGAGAGCCAGAAGUGCAGAAGAAAGGGUUUGGUGCUCCUUCAAAGGCAGCUGCUGCUCUUCCUUCUAUUGGGAAUUUGAGAAAAGAGCUCAGUCUGUAGUUGCAAAGUCAAAGUUGAAAUCCGAAAUUCGCUUUAAAGCAGAAGUUGUAUCUCAGGUGGAAUGGGAAAGGUGGUUAAGGGAUCAGCAGAAGUCAGAAGGAGUUACUCCGGGUGAGGAUGUGUACAUAAUACUGCGCCUUGAUGGUCGAGUUCGAAGAUCAGGAAAAGGCAUGCCUGACUGGCAACAAAUUGUGAAGGAGCUGCCACCUAUGGAAGCAUUAUUGAGUAAGCUAGAAAGAUAAAAGCUCCUGCUCAGUUCCCAAUUCUUGAAAUAUUUUUUGUUCUUUUUAUUAGUUGUUAUUGGGUAAUCUUCAUACCACUGUUACGAUCGCUCAUCAUACCAUCUCUUUUGAUAUUAGAAGAAGGAAACUUGUUCUCUUGAUCCUUCUCAUUGCUGAGAAAUCCAUUAUAUGUGUGUAUAUAUAUAUAAUAUUGUAAAUUUCACUUUGCAAGAUUAGGUUUUAUGCUUUUGAUGAGAGUUUUCAUAUAUUAUAGAAAA
RNA transcript from Jatropha curcas, 1682 nucleotides. It is a transcript of the gene named tetratricopeptide repeat (TPR)-containing protein, with no coding region annotated. NCBI's taxonomy places the organism in Eukaryota, Viridiplantae, Streptophyta, Magnoliopsida, Malpighiales, Euphorbiaceae. The record is from RefSeq and is a predicted model, not a curated record.